RNAcentral lists this long non-coding RNA (540 nucleotides) under Triticum aestivum (bread wheat). RNAcentral's name for it is "long non-coding RNA (TAES_LNC027488)". Lineage: Eukaryota; Viridiplantae; Streptophyta; Magnoliopsida; Poales; Poaceae. The record is from RNAcentral.
GCCACAUAUUCGUUUUCGUAGCCCAGACCCCAAGCACCAUCCCGUCCUUCGCACCGCCGUUUCACGCUCCUGCCUCACCGGUGAGAUCCCGUGCCUCGCCUCCUCUUCUUUUUCUCUUCCUCCUCCUUUUCCUCCUUCUCCCGCUUAACCUCGCAGCCCCCUCUGCCCCUUUGCAGGUCACGGCCAUGGUUCCCACUUUGCCUGAGCUCGUGCAGAGAGGGCGGCGUCGCCGCCACUCGCCGGCCGGCGGCCACUUCCUCCACUGCGCUUCUUCUCCAUCCAGCACCGACCUCCUCCAUGUCGCCUCCGGCCAUCACCGAGUGCCUCCCUGUUGCCAUUGAAAUGACGGUGUUGCAAAUGGCAACAACAAUGAAAGUGGUGUUGCUGCGACAUCAUCUCUCGUUGCAAAAAAAUUGUAACAUCAUUCAUGUUGCAAAAAUCCUUAGCAACAUCAUCUCUCAUUGCAAAAAAAUAAAAAAAAAUCUGCAACAUCUUCUCUUAGUGCAAAAAAAUUCUGCAACAUCACCCAUGUUGUAAAAG